This 449-nucleotide ribosomal RNA is filed under the name uncultured bacterium. RNAcentral's name for it is "bacterial SSU rRNA". It matches the Rfam family "Bacterial small subunit ribosomal RNA", at positions 29 to 524 of the family's 1533-position model. The record is from RNAcentral.
AACGAACGCUGGCGGCAUGCCUAACACAUGCAAGUCGAACGAACUCUUCGGAGUUAGUGGCGCACGGGUGCGUAACGCGUGGGAAUCUGCCCUUGGGUACGGAAUAACUCAGAGAAAUUUGUGCUAAUACCGUAUAAUGACUUUGGUCCAAAGAUUUAUCGCCCAAGGAUGAGCCCGCGUAAGAUUAGCUAGUUGGUGGGGUAAAAGCCUACCAAGGCGACGAUCUUUAGCUGGUCUGAGAGGAUGAUCAGCCACACUGGGACUGAGACACGGCCCAGACUCCUACGGGAGGCAGCAGUGGGGAAUAUUGGACAAUGGGCGAAAGCCUGAUCCAGCAAUGCCGCGUGAGUGAUGAAGGCCUUAGGGUUGUAAAGCUCUUUACCCGGGAUGAUAAUGACAGUACCGGGAGAAUAAGCUCCGGCUAACUCCGUGCCAGCAGCCGCGGUAAU